UACAGAGACUGCAAGCGUUAUUCGGAUUCACUGGGCGUAAAGGGUGCGCAGGCGGCCAAGUGUGUGAGGCGUGAAAGCCCGAAGCUUAACUUCGGAAUUGCACCUCAAACUACAUGGCUAGAGCAUUGGAGAGGGUAGUGGAAUUCACGGUGUAGCAGUGAAAUGCGUAGAUAUCGUGAGGAACACCAGAGGCGAAGGCGGCUACCUGGACAAUUGCUGACGCUCAGGCACGAAAGCGUGGGGAGCAAAAGGG
Molecule: ribosomal RNA, 253 nt
Filed under: uncultured bacterium
Lineage: Bacteria
Description: partial 16S ribosomal RNA
Rfam family: Bacterial small subunit ribosomal RNA
Source: RNAcentral